This 460-nucleotide ribosomal RNA is filed under the name uncultured bacterium. RNAcentral's name for it is "partial 16S ribosomal RNA". It matches the Rfam family "Bacterial small subunit ribosomal RNA", at positions 338 to 795 of the family's 1533-position model. The record is from RNAcentral.
CCUACGGGUGGCAGCAGUGAGGAAUAUUGGUCAAUGGGCGCGAGCCUGAACCAGCCAAGUAGCGUGAAGGAUGACUGCCCUACGGGUUGUAAACUUCUUUUAUAAAGGAAUAAAGUGAGGCACGUGUGCCUUUUUGUAUGUACUUUAUGAAUAAGGAUCGGCUAACUCCGUGCCAGCAGCCGCGGUAAUACGGAGGAUCCGAGCGUUAUCCGGAUUUAUUGGGUUUAAAGGGAGCGUAGAUGGGGUGUUAAGUCAGGUGUGAAAGGUUGGGGCUCAACCGUAAAAUUGCAGUUGAUACUGGCAGUCGUGAGUAGAGUAGAGGUAGGCGGAAUGCGUGGUGUAGCGGUGAAAUGCUUAGAUAUCACGAAGAACUCCGAUUGCGAAGGCAGCAUACUAAACUGCCACUGACAUUGAUGCUCGAAAGUGUGGGUAUCAAACAGGAUUAGAUACCCCAGUAGUC